Long non-coding RNA from Taeniopygia guttata (zebra finch), 2032 nucleotides. NCBI's taxonomy places the organism in Eukaryota, Metazoa, Chordata, Aves, Passeriformes, Estrildidae. The record is from Ensembl.
UUUUUUUUUUUUUUUUUUUUUUUUUUUUUUAAUGUGGUAUGAACAGGAAGGUUUAAAGCUCAGUUUUUGCAAGAUGUUUCUUGAAGGAGCAGGUCUGUUUGGAAAUCCAGCAGAUGCCUGGAGAUAAUGGCUGUGAGAAGCCCUAAAUACCCAUCUACCUAUCAAGUGUGUAGACAAGCUCACCAAAUGAUAACAUCUUGUUACCUUACCAGGAAACAGGGAAGAAAUGAUCAGCAAGAUUAGACAAAAAAAAAAAACGGGCACUUAGCUAGAAUUUCUGAAAUCCCUUCCAGCUCUUAACUAAGAUAUUUUUCUUGUCACAGAAUAAACCAAGGACUUGUUAAAAAAACACAGUUUCCCAGGGUAGCGGAAAGGGAUGUAAGGCAGAAGAACUAAAAAAGCACCCCGGCAUGAUACAGGAAAAGCUCCAUUAAAAAUAAUGAAUCUAAAUUCACUGUCUCAGUGGCUGAAGAAACAAAGGAUGAGGUUGUCUGGCUCUGGACGUCGGAGCCUUAAUGUGCUGCUAAUAAUGUUUAUAUCAUAAAGCAGCGUCGCUGCGUUAGCUUUGAUUUAGCAACGCCAGUUUACAUCAGCUGAGGAAGCCAUCUGUAAAUUCAGCCCCACAAAUGUAAAUACAGUGAAGGCAGAAAGGCUUGGUCAUCCCUGGAGGACAUAAGAAGGGGUUGCUGGGCUGACCUGGGUACUCCGCGGUGCCCCUCCUGCUGUCACAGCUUUGUCACCUGUCUGAGGUGCAGAAGGAACAUGUGGCCUGUGUGGCUCAGCCUCUGGCUGUGCAGAGCCAUCCAUCCAGUCCUGGCAGCUCUGCUUGACUUCACUCCAGCUGUGCCCCCCUCCAGCUGCACAGGGGACAACCCUCAGAAACUCUUCAAAACUCCAAGUGCCAGUAGAAGAGAUUUUCAGAUAAAGCUAUAAAAGUGAUAUUAAAAGAUUGCUGGAACCAGACGGUUUCACUCAAGAGCUCUGAGGGAACUCAGAGUUGAAAUUGCUGACCUAUUCAGUACAAUACCACAGCAGCUGUUGAAAUGGCGAGGCACCACAGGAAUGGAAGGUGGCAAAUGUUACAUUAAUUCUUAAAAAGGGCCUUUAGAGGUCAUCCAGAAACCUGUGGGCUGGGAAGCUGGGCAAGGCAGAUUGACAGAAAGCAUAAUAAAAAGCAGGAUAGCUGAAAGUGUGAUAGAAUGGGAAAGAGCAAAGUUUGUUGAGUGAGAGCUCAGGCAUUGCAAAUCCAUUUGUGUCAAGACCCGGGUAAUUUGAUGUUUUUCUAAAAAAUCCAGCUGCAACAAGGUGGAGAAUAAUCUCAGAAAACUGAAUGGCAGGUUGAUGAAAUCACCUAUGAAAUUCACCGGCAGCAAAUAAAAAGUGAGGACUGUGAGAAAUACCAACACAAGCCGUACUAAGACCAUCAGGGGCACUAAAUUAAUAUCAGGCAGGAAGGAAACCUCCGUCAGUGAGUUUGCUGAAAAUUCCAGCUUACUCCUCAACAGAUGUUAGCAAUGCUGAAAAAGAGCCUUAAGAAUUACUACAGAAUUAAAAGAGAAUGAGAAUGCUCCUUCUAGGAAUGCUGCCUUAAACACAGGGUGUCCACCAAGGAGGAUAUAGAACAAUCCAUGAAGAUACAGAAGAGAUGAGAACUACAGUCGAGUCCUUCUUCUUGGCCACCUCAGCUGAGAAGGGAUGUGAGAGAGAUCCUGGCAACUCAACAUGGAAAUGUGAUCAGGAGACCAUCCAUUAUUUGUGGCUGUUGUCACAAGGGAAAGGCAGCACAACCCAAUCUAUUGGGAUGGAGUCUAACAUGAAGAAAAGGAAGCACUUCUUUCACACAAUGCAAAAUUGAAUUAUGGCACUUGUCACAGGAUGCUGUGAAGACCAGAAUUAUAAAAGAAUUCCAAAAGGGGUUAGCCAAUUUCUUGGAGGCUUGACCCAUCUGCAGCUGUUAAACACAAUGACCUAAAUGCCAGUCAAAAAUUCCCUUAACCACAGUCUGCUCUACUGAGCUGGUAAUAUCACAGAG